Long non-coding RNA from Salarias fasciatus (jewelled blenny), 95 nucleotides. RefSeq lists it as uncharacterized. NCBI's taxonomy places the organism in Eukaryota, Metazoa, Chordata, Actinopteri, Blenniiformes, Blenniidae. The record is from RefSeq and is a predicted model, not a curated record. The transcript has 3 exons.
UUUGAAUGUUGGAUGCCGCCGUGAAUCGCGGCGUUAUGAAUUACACAUUAGGCUGAAACAAAGGGUCCCACAAAUGGACCCCAUUAGCAUGGAGG